AUGCUGAGGACUCUAGUGAGACUGCCGUCGUAAGAUGUGAGGAAGGUGGGGAGUGACGUCAAAUCAGCACGGCCCUUACGUCCGGGGCUACACACGUGUUACAAUGGGGGGUACAGAGGGCAGCUACCGGGCGACCGGAUGCCAAUCCCAAAAACCUCUCUCAGUUCGGAUCGAAGUCUGCAACCCGACUUCGUGAAGCUGGAUUCGCUAGUAAUCGCGCAUCAGCCACGGCGCGGUGAAUACGUUCCCGGGCCUU
This 256-nucleotide ribosomal RNA is filed under the name uncultured Bacteroides sp. RNAcentral describes it as "partial 16S ribosomal RNA". It matches the Rfam family "Bacterial small subunit ribosomal RNA", at positions 1128 to 1382 of the family's 1533-position model. Lineage: Bacteria; Pseudomonadati; Bacteroidota; Bacteroidia; Bacteroidales; Bacteroidaceae. The record is from RNAcentral.